UGGAAGCUUAAAAGUCCUCUAAAAAUGAAGAUAUUCCUCUGGUUUUUAAAUAGAGGGGUCAUCUUAACUAGAGAUAAUCUGGCACAACACAAUUAGCAAGGUACCAAGACACGUGUCUUUUGCCAACAUGACGAGUCUAUUAAAUACUUAUUUUUUGAAUGUAAGUUCGCUCGAGCAGUUUGGGUCAUAGUUCAAGUAGCUUCAAAUUUAUACCCCGCAUGUAGUGCAUAUAACAUGUUCAGCAACUGGUUGCGGGGUAUUGAUAAACAUAUUCUGCAUAUAUUUUUAUGGGGGCGGCUGCCUUAUGUUGGGCAUUGUGGCUUACCAGAAAUGAUGUGGUUUUUAAUAAUAGAUGUGUCUCAUCUUCUAUGCAGGUUAUUCAUGUAUGUACGUGAUGGCUCCGUACUUGGUCUAUCCUGCAGAGGUCGGAGGAUAGGGACCUUUUUAUGA
Molecule: ribosomal RNA, 450 nt
Filed under: Triticum aestivum (bread wheat)
Lineage: Eukaryota; Viridiplantae; Streptophyta; Magnoliopsida; Poales; Poaceae
Description: partial small subunit ribosomal RNA
Source: RNAcentral